GAAGAAGACAAAUUACACUCUGGUUACUAACCGUGACAUUUUGUUGGUAAGCCUUAUGGAAUCUUGUUCUAAGCACUAAGUUUACAAGAAUAUUUUGAGGUCCUCUGAGUUGCUUAUUUACUUAGUUAACAUAAGUUCUUUUUCUCCUGAUUGCUUUCUGAAGGAAGAGAUUUUGUUCUCGGUGAUUGGGCAUAGUGAUUUCGAUGCAUCGCCUGAUCUCAUUCUCACAGAGGAUAUCAAUGGGGUGAAUGCUGGUAGGAGAAACUUGCACAUUGUUCAUUUUUACUUUAUGUUUGUCCAAAUCAUUUGCCAAGCAAAGCAAUGUCAAUUUCUGUGAUAUAUCACGCUCAUUAACACUGAAUAUUUGUUCACCUGCUCCUGUGUCUUGAGAAUACGCAUAUGAUAGCUUAGUAUGACUCAUUUGGUGGUUGAUGAAAAUCAUAUACUGGUCAGAUUGUAGGAGGUUUGUUAUUAGUUGUGCCAUUCAUUUUUAGAAAUAGAACUGAGAGAUGAAACCCAUCUUUCGUGAAUUAAAACUGAAUGUGCAAGUUUUUAUUGAAGCAACAACAAAGUUUAAGUUCUGAUUUUGUAGAUAAAACAUAAUUGCCGACUGAAAAUUUUUCCUCCCAGAUACCUGUGUAUCUCGUGGUUGAUUAAAAUCAUCAAUAUAAUCCUGUGAUUUUAGAGUAGUGUGAUUUUGAAAAAAAACUACAAUGCCAAACUCGGCCGAAGCGAUGUCAUAUGAAAUCUGGCUUCCAUGGUUUAUACUAAAGGCAUCAUUUUUCAGGUGGUAUAUACAAUUAUACACAACUUAAUUUAUUCUAAAAAAUCAUAUUUCAAAGCUGCCUGAGCUCACCACUAUCCUUGCUUCUACAAGCUAAUCAACUUAAUUUUAUCCGUCAUUUGUUUUGUAUUCUUGUCAUUUAUUUAGAUAGAUGUUUAUGUCCUUAAUUAUGUGGAAGGUCAUGAUGACUGCACCUACAUCUGGUUCCACUUUCUUGACAAAUUUGUGCAAAAUGUUUUUAGGUAGUCAACCUAUUGAUGCACAUGGACAUGAUGACUCUCUAGCGUUUAUGGACCAACCAACCUGUAAUCAUGGACCUUAUUGUUUUGUAGACCAUUUGGUGUUUCGAGUGUUUUGUAGCUUGCACUUUGUGCAUGUAGAUACAAACUUGUGUGUUCUGGACCAUCUGAAGUCUCUCAUAGUAACCAAUAGUCCUUAUCUUUUUGUGACUUGUGUGUUCUAGAUGAUUGUUAAGAUGGUCAAAACUAUGCUUCCUCUAGGUUAAUUUGUUUGUCAACUUGCGUUUAAUGUAUGUGCAUGUUUAUAAACAUAUUUUCAUUGUGGUGUAAUAUGUGUUUAUCUUGAACCUUCUUGUGGGUGUGAGGAUAAUAAUUGAAUAUUUUUAGAGCUGGU
RNAcentral lists this long non-coding RNA (1417 nucleotides) under Hordeum vulgare. RNAcentral's name for it is "long non-coding RNA (HVUL_LNC008648)". Lineage: Eukaryota; Viridiplantae; Streptophyta; Magnoliopsida; Poales; Poaceae. The record is from RNAcentral.